This is an RNA transcript of Mirounga angustirostris (Northern elephant seal), 7333 nucleotides long. It is a transcript of the gene named tubulin beta chain-like, with no coding region annotated. The transcript is spliced from 5 exons. The record is from RefSeq and is a predicted model, not a curated record. Lineage: Eukaryota; Metazoa; Chordata; Mammalia; Carnivora; Phocidae.
GAGAGCACGGCGGCCUCGCAGGAGGCAGCUCCCUCUUGUACUGGCACGGGGUCUGCGGGACGCCGAGGCGAGCCUGAAGGGCGCUCACACCGCGGUGGCCGCGGCCGGCCCGUCCCCGCAGGCUGGUCUCCGAGGGAGGAACCAAAACAAGGAACGACUGUGAAAAGUAAACUGUGCCGUGACGGGAAUGUGCUGAUAACUUUAUCUUCCCUACUCCCCAAACCUGAACUGGGCACCCUUGGUUUCAGCAAGAGAUAGAACUGAACAGUUUGCAUAUACUUGCUGAUCUGCCUGUAACUCUACUUCCUAUUUCACAACAUAAUCUCAGAUGAUACCACAAUGCCCGCAGUAUGCUGAUCACUACCAACAGCAGAUGGAGUCAGAUAAAACUGAUAGCAGCCCUAAGAUCAAACACAAAUUGAGUUUGUGAGAUUUCCUAAAGAUAUGUGCAAGAUGGAACCAGCCAUCAUAAUCCUAUUUUCCUAAAGAUGCUGGAUGACCCCUCCACCUCCAUAGUAGCAGGGGCCUAUGCUACUUUCAGGGACUAAAAAUGUCUGCCACCUUCAUUGGCAACAGCACGGGCAUCCAGAAGCUGUUCAAGUGCAUCUCAGAGCAGUUCACCGCCAUGUUCAGGCACAAGGACUUCCUGCACUGGUACACGGGCGACAGCAUGGACAAGAUAGAGUCCACCAAGGCCGAGAGCAACAUGAACGACCUGGUGUCCAAGUACCAGCCGUACCAGGACACCACAGCCAAGGAGGAGGGCGAGUUUGAGGAGGAGGCUGAGGAGGGUGGCCUAGAGCUGUUACCUGGCGUAUGUUGAGCACCUGCUAUGUUUCAGCUAUGCUGAGUAAGUGAGUAAGUUAUGAUCUGUGGACACAGGACUUAGAGUUUUGUGAGGAGAACCAACCUGUAUGGGAUGCUUAUGAUGCCGUGGAGCACAGAAGAGGGAUGCUGGACACGAAAGAGCCCAGGGUUCUGAAAAACUGCUAAUAGUUCUAAAAGACUGAAUUGGAUUUCCACUUCUGACCCCGAUGGAUUGAGAAGGAACUGGAUUUACCUUCCUGGCAUCUGAAACAACUUUAAAAACAGGAAGAAUAUAGAAAACAACUGUUCUCAGGCACUGCAUAUCAGGCAACAGAGGACAGUGAUCCCUGAGAUUGGGAAAAUAAAUGAGGUGAGCCCUGUGAUUGUCCUAGCUUACUGCCUGGGAGAGAGUUUCUGGUGUGCGAUUAAGAGAGUGGGAAUCUGGGGGCGCCUGGGUAGCUCAGUCGGUUAAGCGUCUGCCUUCGGCUCAGGUCAUGAUCCCAGGAUUCUGGGAUUGAGCCCCACAUCGGGCUCCCUGCUCAGCGGGGAGCCUGCUUCUCCCUCUCCCACUCCCCCUGCUUGUGUUCCCUCUCUUGCUGUGUCUCUCUCUCUGUCAAAAUAAAUAAAUAAAAUCUUUUAAAAAAGAGAGAGAGAGAGAGUGGGAAUCUGUGUGGGCUGCGGGUGUCCGGGGAGGCUCUGGCAUCUUGACUUCUCAGGCAGAGUAGCAGGGAGAGGAGUAUUGCAUAGGGAGAAAGUUCCGAAGACCUACAGAAGGCCCCCAGGAGUCUUCAGCUGAGUACUGAUCAGCACCUGAGUAUGGAGAAACUACUUAACUCCCUAUCGGAGCAGAGGGAAUAACCCUUGAAUGAAAAGCCUUGUACUUUACAGGGCAUUAGGGAGAGUAUUCAAAAGAGCAUUGCCUCAAGUAGUGUGGCUAAAUUAGCUCUGAAAUAAAGGCUGCCCAUCCUGCCUAACAAAGCCUGAAAGAAACUUUGAAAACAUCAAACUAUUUCCAAGUGAAUUAACCGCUUCCCAGAAUAAAGCUCAAGGAAAUAUUUAUAGAGAUAAAAAAAAAUUGCACCUAAGAAGGUAAAAAUCACAAUUUCUGGCAUCCAGUGAAAAAGGACCAGGCAUGCAAACCAGCAGGAAAAUGCAAUGAAUAAUGAGGGAAAGAAAUCAAUCAAUAGAAACCCAGAAAUGAUGCAGAUAUCAAAAUAUACAAAGAUAGAAUUAGUAGACUAAGACAUUAAAGCAGUUAUUAUAACUUUAUUCCAUAAGUACAAGAAUCUAAAGGAAAGAUUGAGCAUGUUAAGUAGAGAAAUGGAAGGUAUUAAGAAAAAAACUGAACUUUUAGACAUGAAAAAUACAUCUGUGGUGAAAAAUAUAUUGGAUGGGCUUGAUAGAAGAUUAGACACAACAGAAGAAAGGAGUAGUUAAGUUGAAUACAUAGCAGUAGAAACUAAAAUGAAGCAAUCAAUCAAAAAAAAAAAAUCUUAAAAAAAAAGGGUGCCUGGGUGGCUCAGUUGGUUGGGCGACUGCCUUCGGCUCAGGUCAUGAUCCUGGAGUCCCAGGAUCGAGUCCCGCAUCGGGCUCCCUGCUCGGCAGGGAGUCUGCUUCUCCCUCUGACCCUCCCCCCUCUCAUGCUCUCUCUCUCUCUCAAAUAAUAAAUAAAUAAAUAAAUAAAUAAAUAAAUAAAUAAAAUAAAAUAAAAUAAAAUGAAGCAAUCAGAGAAAAAGUGUUGAAAACAAAAUGACCAGAGCAUCAGUGAGCUAUGGGACAACUUCAAGCUGCAUACAGAGUUGAUGGAUUUAUGGGUGGACACCUUGACCAAGGACUUUCUCCCUUGGAAUUUUGAAUUUAGAACCCAAAGAGAAUCAAGCCAGUCUCAUUCAGUGUGACUGUAAUAAGAACAUGGAAAUCUUCAUUGUUUUUCAUCAGGUAGACUGAGAAGCAGAAGUUAGUCUGUAACAAGGGAAAAAAGAUACAGAGGAAAGUAGAGAUAUAAUCUGGAGAGAGAAAUCAUCAAGAUUUCCAGGUCCUAGAUCCAGUUUUGUUUGUUUGUUUUUUUGGUUUUUUUUAAGAUUUUAUUUAUUUAUUUAUUUGACAGAGAGAGACACAGCGAGAGAGGGAACACAAGCAGGGGGAGUGAAGAGGGAGAGCAGGCUUCCUGCCGAGCAGGGAGCCCGAUGCCAGGCUUGAUCCCAGGACCCUGAGAUCAUGACCUGAGCCUAAGGCAGAUGCUUAACGACUGAGCCACCCAGGCGCUCCAGUCCAGUUGUUUCUGAGCUGAGUUGUAUCCCUAUCUGUUCAGCUGUUUCUUAGAUUCCAUGAGAUUUUUUGCCAUAUAUAAUGAAAAAGGUCUUAAAUUAUAUAGAGAUGAUGCAUUUGAUUUUGGACAUGUUAAAAUGUUAUUUGAUUUGUGGAUGCAUGUUUGGAGUGUCUAUGGAAUAUUGAUGUGGAAAUAUCAACUAGGUAGGUGAAUAGACUUUUCUGAAGCUCAGAAUAGAAGCAUGAGCCCCAAAUUUACAUUUUGAUUCUACAGAAUAAAUAGAGCACCUAAAUCUAUAAGAGUUUACCUAAAUCCAUGGGAUUAUAUGAACUCGAAAAUGGAGAAUAUAUAGAGGGAGAUACAAAACCAGUGAUGGAACCUGGAAAACAAGCAUAUUAAAAAGACAAAAAGAGCAUCCAGGGAAAGACUGAGAAAGAAUGUUUACCAAGUUAGGGUGAGAGCUUGAUGUUGAGAAAAUCAAAGGAAGGGAGAAUCUAAAGAAAAGAGAAAUCAGUAACACUGUCAAUUUCCCGAAGGACCUAAGACAUUCCUGACCCUUGAUUGGCUUCCUCCAUUUCUAAGCUUACUUCCUUUUUUCUGCCCAUAUUUACCACAUAUGAGUCCAUAUUUCCCUGUUUCUGACCUCAACAUGCUAACUUAACCAUAGUUAUGAAUCUCUUUUAGGGUAGUUUGAUUUGGGCUAUCUUAACCCUACAUUAUUCUACAAUACCUAAUAAGGAUUAAAGACCCAAUCAGAGCAGAUCAACAGGAAAGAGCUUUUCCCCCAAAAGACAAUUGUAUGGCAGUAUAACUGGGAGGCAAGGAAGGAUCUGGAGAAAAGUUAUUGGUUUCCAUAAGAGGAAAUGAGGCCUCAUCAGUUUAUUAAAGUUCUUUUAGGACGCACAAAUGCAUAUGGAGAAAGCUCAUGAAUGGCGUCUAUUUAGAUUUUCAAAAAGGCUUUCACAAAGUUCCACACAAAAGGCUAUUUUAAAAAUUGAGUCAUCAUGGUAUGAUGGAGACUGGUGUAAUGCACAGGGAAGUUGCUUAGAGACAAGAAACAAUGGUUUAGGAUAAAAGGGCACUUCUUGGAGGAAGAAGUGUAAACAUGGCAUUCCUCUCUAACUUGCUUUAUUUAAUAUUUCUAUUAGUAAUUUGGAGGAGGGAAGACAUAAUGACACUAAGUUCUUCUGAGUAUGAAAAGCUCAAGUAUGUGGGGAUAACCUGAAGUUAGCAUGAGGCUAUGUGAAUAGGCUGAAAAUAUUGAAUUGAAUGGGCAAAAAAAAGUAUUGAACUUAGACCAAAACACUCUAAAGUGUACUGAGAAGAUUUAUGUACUCAUUCAUUCAUUAAAUGGUUAUUGAGGAUCAAUUAUGUGGCCAGAUAUUAUGCUACAAUUUUGGGAGGAAAUUAAUAAUUAAGAAGGCACUUCUCCCUGCUUUUAGAGAACUUAAAUACAAUAAAAAGGUUUUUCCUGAAUCUUGGGAAAAGUAAAUUCAAGGUGAAUAAAAAAGUAGUUCACUUAAUAGGAAACACAUGGAGCUUAGGUUUCUAAGAGUUAAGCUGAGAAGGUUGAAAAAUAUAAAGAAUCUCAAUAUUUAGAUAAUUUCAUAAAAGACACUGCUGUGUUGGUAUUGUUAAGGUAACUUAGAAUAUUUGUAGCUACAUCCAUAACAUCUGGAUAUAUUAGCGUAUUAGGACCAUUUGUGUUGGAAGUGACAAAAUUCAAAUCAAAACUAACUUUAAAAAAAAAAAAAGAAGGUAAGCCUGGCUUUAGGGGUAGCUGGGUAUAGAGAGGCAGGAGAUGUUAUGAGAACUUGGUGUAGCUCACUCAUUUUCCACCUCUCAGCUCUGUUUUUUUCUGUGUGGUUUCAUUCUAAGAAUAUUUCCACAUGGAACAAAGGUAGCCUGUAUAUAAGUAUGGGAGAUGGAAGAAAUUCCAGUUUUCAAUGUUCUCCACCUAUGAUUUUAGGAAACACUUUUUCUCCUAGCACCCAUAUCAGUUCCUGAAAAGAGACACCAAAUGGCCCAUCCUUGAACCACUCACUGUGGCCAAGAAUUUGAAGUAUUCUUACUGGCCAGGCCAGGGCACCACAGUGCCUCCCACAAAAGCUAGGGUGAAGGGGAGUAGUCAGACUCUCAGAGCCACACAGACUGAGAAUGAGGAAGAAGUCAUUUCCCAAAAAGACAUUAGGCAGACAAAAAAUUAGUGACAACAACUACCUACUUCUCUAAAAGAUCAUCAUAGACCGAUGACAGUUAUGAUAGAAGCCUUAAAGAUACUCUCUCCACCAUGAUCCUCAUCUUCUGGUAUUCACACACGUUUGUAAUCCCGUCUCUUUUAAAUGUAGGCUAGAUUUAGUGACUCACUUCUAAAGAAAAGAGUAUGAUAGAAGUGAUGGUAUGUCACUUCCGAGUUAGGUUAUAAAAGACUGCAGGUUCCAUCUUGGAUGUUCUGACUCUUUCUAGCUUUUCCUUUGAUUGCUCACCCUGUGGGGAAGCCAGCCACUAUGUUGUGAGUCAGUCCUAUGGAGAGGCUCAUGUAAGUGAGCUUGGAAGUGGGUUUUCUUGAUAAUAACCAGGUGUAUGAGCUUGGAAGUGGAUCCUUCCCCAGUCUAGUCUUUAGAUGAGACAAAAGACCUGGAUGAGAGCUCAACUGCAACCUCAUGAGAGACCUAGAGCCAGAGGCACCCAGCUAAGUGGUACCCAGAUUCCUGACCCAUGGAAAUGGAAGAUCAUACAUUUCUGUUCUUAGAAGCCACUAAGUUUGGGGGCAAUUGUUAAACAGCAAUAGAUAACAAAUACACUGGGGUUGAUACAAGAAGGUAAUAUUUAUGGUCUUAUGUACAAAUGACCAAAAAUAGAUAAAUACAUACAGGAUAAGGCAAAAAAAAUCUGUUAAAAUGUCAAAUGUGAUUUCUGUCAUUUUGAAUAUUGUCUGUGUUGAAUGUGAAGAAAACUAAAUUUCCACACCUAGAAGAAACUAUCAGGGAUUAUUUGUAUCCAUGAACAGACUGAAUACAUAGUAGCUGCAUUACAGCUUAUUUAUUAAAUUUAUUUUUUUAAGUAAUUUCUACACCCAAUGUGGGGCUCAAACUCAUGACUGUGAGAUCAAGAGUCCUGAGAUCAAGAGUCGCAUGCUCUCACAUGCCAGCCAGGCAUCCCUAAAUUUAAAUCUUAAAUGGAGGGGCACCUGGGUGGCUCAGUCGUUAAGCGUCUGCCUUCGGCUCAGGUCAUGAUCCCAGGGUCCUGGGAUCGAGCCCCGCAUUGGGCUCCCUGCUCAGCGGGAAACCUGCUUCUCCCUCUCCCACUCCCCCUGCUUGUGUUCCCUCUCUCGCUGUGUCUCUCUCUGUCAAAUAAAUAAAUAAAAUAUUUAAAAAAAAUCUUAAAUGGAGAUACAGCUAUUAUAGCAUUCUGUAAGUAGGUAAAGUCUAGACUUCAUUAUUUGGCUAUGUUCUUUGCUGUUUUUCUAAUUUUUUAGUCAUUCAAAUGAAGUUUUCAAUUGUAAUCUGAGAUUAAAAAGAAUCAUUUUGCCAAGUUUCCUUUGACUCAUUGUUUAAAAAUUUGAAAUAAAUCACCACGAAGUUAAGGUCCAUAUAAGGUCAAUGUGACUUUGUCUUUGAGAUCUGUUUAUGUCUUCAUGUUUAUAGGUUACUAAGUACCUUUCCCUGAUGAAAAGUUUAAAAAAAAAAAAACAACUCCAAGUGAAAAAGAGGACUAAGUCCAAUAUCAAAAGGAUGUUUAUUCAGUUUGGAGGUUCCUCAAAAAGUUAAAAAUAGAUGGACUCUACGAUCUAGCAAUUGCACUUCUAGGUAUUUACUCAAAGGAUACAAAAAUACAGGUUUGAAGGGGUACAUGCACCCCAAUGUUUAUAGCAGUAUUACCAGCAGUAGCUAAACUAUGGAGAGAGCCCAAAUGUCCAUCGACUGAUGAAUGGAUAAAGAAGAUAUGGUAUAUAUACACAAUGGAAUAUUACUCAGCCAUCAAAAAAGGAAAUCUUGCCAUUUACAACAAUGUGGACAGAGCUAGAGUGUAUUAUGCUAAGUGAAAUAAGUCAGUUAGAGAAAGACAAAUACCAGAUGAUUUACUCAUAUGUGGAAUUUAAGGCAGAAAACAGAUGGACCUAAGGGAAGGGGGUAAAGAAAAAAAACGAGAGAGGGAAACAAGCCAUGGAGACUCUUUUUUAAAAUUUUUUUAAAAUUUAUUUAUUUGAGAGAGAGAGAGAGAAACAGCAUGAGAGGGGAUAGGGUCAGAAGGAGA